CUGCCAGCAGCCGCGGUAAUACGUAAGUGGCAAGCCUUAUCCCGAAUUAUUGUGCGUACAGCGCGCGCACGUGGUUUCUUAAGUCUGAUGUGAAAGCCCACGGCUCAGCCGUGGAGGGUCAUUGGAAACUGGGAGACUUGAGUGCAGAAGAGGAAAGUGGAAUUCCAUGUGUAGCGGUGAAAUGCGUAGAGAUAUGGAGGAACACCAGUGGCGAAGGCGACUUUCUGGUCUGCAACUGACACUGAGGCGCGAAAGCGUGGGGAGCAAACAGGAUUAGAUACCCUGGUAGUCC
This 292-nucleotide ribosomal RNA is filed under the name uncultured microorganism. Its description in RNAcentral is "partial 16S ribosomal RNA". It matches the Rfam family "Bacterial small subunit ribosomal RNA", at positions 505 to 796 of the family's 1533-position model. The record is from RNAcentral.